GGAAGGAUCAUUGUUGUUGCCUUCACAAAACACGACCUGUGCACAUGUAAUGCAAAGCUGCCGAGGAGGAAUGUUCUCCCCGGCCCAACCGGCCUCGACCUUCUGUGUCUUUUAGGACACGUUGGUUGCGGUGUCGGAAAACGGCGCGGAAUGUCGCCAAGGAAUAUUACAUUGCCGAGGCAGAUGAUGACGUGUUGUGUCGUCUGCUGAGGCCAAAGAAAAAAAACGAGAUGACUCUCGGCAACGGAUAUCUCGGCUCUCGCAUCGAUGAAGAACGUAGCAAAAUGCGAUACCUGGUGUGAAUUGCAGAAUCCCGUGAACCAUCGAGUUUUUGAACGCAAGUUGCGCCUGAGGCCUUUUGGCUGAGGGCACGUCUGCCUGGGCGUCAUGCGCCCAUCCACGCUCAGGCACCUAAAAGGUGCUCUUGAUGCGGACACUGGCCCUCCGAGCCGCAAGGUUGCGACGGGCCCAAGUACAAUGGCUGUCGGUUGAGGUCGAGAGCGACGAGUGGUGGGCUACAAUCUAGCGUUCGUUGCCCUUGAAUCUCACGAUGAUGAUGCCUGUAUUGACCCCAAACGAGCAUCAAGCCGCUGCAGCGUUAUGUUGUGUGGCAUGUUCGGACUUAUACCCCAGGUCAGGCGUGAUCACCCGCUGAGUUUAAGCAUAUAAAUAAGCGGAGGAAAAGAAACUUACGAGGAUUCCCCUAGUAACGGCGAGCGAACCGGGA
Molecule: unclassified non-coding RNA, 727 nt
Filed under: Poales environmental sample
Lineage: Eukaryota; Viridiplantae; Streptophyta; Magnoliopsida; Poales
Description: sequence contains 18S rRNA gene, ITS1, 5.8S rRNA gene, ITS2, 28S rRNA gene
Rfam family: 5.8S ribosomal RNA (bases 233-388)
Source: RNAcentral